Small nucleolar RNA from Echinops telfairi (small Madagascar hedgehog), 144 nucleotides. Lineage: Eukaryota; Metazoa; Chordata; Mammalia; Afrosoricida; Tenrecidae. The record is from Ensembl.
ACCCCCUGGCUAUGGACAAAGAGACACCUGUUUGGUGGUGGUGCUCUUAUAUCAGUCAGGGACAAAGCCAACUUGGAGUUCUUUGUUCAUCCUAGCCUGAUGCCUAGAUUGUGGCCAGAGCUGUUUCAUUCUUAGGGCACAUUA